This 645-nucleotide long non-coding RNA is filed under the name Homo sapiens (human). RNAcentral describes it as "non-protein coding lnc-PAX9-6:1". Lineage: Eukaryota; Metazoa; Chordata; Mammalia; Primates; Hominidae. The record is from RNAcentral.
CCCUCCCCUGCUCUCGCAAGGAGAAAGCGGGCGACGAGCGCUCGCAGCCCGUGGGGCUGAUCCCACCUCCCGCAGGGCUCCGGUCGUGUCGCUGUCGGACCGCAGAACGCCGGGACGCAUUUCCGAGCUCGGGCCCGACCCAACCCGCUGCCAUUCUAGCUACCUAGUGGAGCCGCGGAGAGACUCUUGAACCGUGAGGCUCCUUGAUGAGAAGGUGGAGAGGCUGCCGGGCUAUUCUCCGAGCAUCUUCCGGCCGAGCUCUGCUCCUCUCCGUGCGCUUGCGGCUUCUCCUUGGGCUAGCGCGUCCGCAGUCCCUCCAAGUCCAGGCCGCAGUCACCCAGGUGGGGAGCUAGCCUGAAAGAGACAGCGGAAGGAGUUUCCUGGACUGCGCUGUCGCUCACCGACCCGCACCAAUCACCAUGCAGCUUGCCCUCGGACCCGCCCCUUUUAGGGCGUGUCCCCAGUGAGUGAUAGACGGAGCCGCCCUGCCCUGCUCAGCCCAGCCCACGUUGCUGCUUAGAUUGAAAUGCAGAACUCAAGCCUCUUUCAUCGGGGCACAGACUUCCUUUUACUUCUUCCUUUUGCCCUCUCGCCUCCUCCUCCUGGGAAGAAGCGGAGGCGCCGGCGGUCGGCCGGGAUAGCAAC